Molecule: non-coding RNA, 45 nt
Filed under: Schistosoma margrebowiei
Lineage: Eukaryota; Metazoa; Platyhelminthes; Trematoda; Strigeidida; Schistosomatidae
Source: RNAcentral
AUUCUGUUGACGAGUCACAAAUAAGACGAAAUGCGCAUCCUGGAU